GGAUACGCACGUCUACCAUACAGUCGAGCGGUAGAGGGAGCUUGGUUCCUUGAUACCGCGCGCACGACGGUGAGAAACGCUGCAUGACGACCUCACGCCUAGUGCAGGGGGAAUACACCCAUNAUCAAAAUUUGAGAUGCAUAUGCACCCACUAUACUGUACCUCAGCGAGUGAGCAAUCGCUUUGGGUACCAUUCAAGAUCUUUGUCGCGUAUCAAGAAUGAGGCCAUGCGUCAUGCAUUAGCUAGUUUGGGGAGGAAUGGGCUCUACCAAGGCAACAACCAUUACUGGUCCUGAAAGAUAAAUCCCCCCCCCUGAUCCUGAAACCCGGACCAAACCCCUACGGAAGGCACCAUGGAGAAAUAUUGACCAUGGGAGGCAACUCGAACCCACCCUUGCCCCGGGGAGGAUGACGGCCCCAUAUAGUGAAAACUGCUUUUGUGCGAGAAAAGAUGUAUCUACAAGACCAUGUUGGACUGACCCUUCCGACUAAAGAUCGGCUAACUCCCUGCCUGCCACCGCCCUAAUACAUACGAACCGAGCGUUCUCCGGACUCAUUGACUGUAAAGGAAUCGCACGCAGGUUAAUCAGUCAGUGGUAAGAUCUUGCCCCUUAACUCGUCCUGUGAACUGUGAUCCUGUCUGACUUGCAUUGUAUCGAAAUAACUAGAAUAAAUUUCGUGUGUAUCAAAUGCUUGCAUAUUACAUAGAAUGCCCAUCGCUAACGCAGGCUACUACCUACAUCUGGAC
This 748-nucleotide ribosomal RNA is filed under the name Aquipseudomonas alcaligenes. RNAcentral describes it as "bacterial SSU rRNA". It matches the Rfam family "Bacterial small subunit ribosomal RNA", at positions 40 to 744 of the family's 1533-position model. Lineage: Bacteria; Pseudomonadati; Pseudomonadota; Gammaproteobacteria; Pseudomonadales; Pseudomonadaceae. The record is from RNAcentral.